This 789-nucleotide long non-coding RNA is filed under the name Anser brachyrhynchus (Pink-footed goose). RNAcentral's name for it is "lncRNA (ENSABRG00000008972.1)". Lineage: Eukaryota; Metazoa; Chordata; Aves; Anseriformes; Anatidae. The record is from RNAcentral.
AUGCCUGCUUGUUUUUUUUUGUUUUUUUUGGGUUUUUUUUGGCCACACCUCGUUAUUUCUGCUAUUAUGAGGCCCUCGCAGCGUUGUUUGUCAUCUUGUCGAGGCCCCUCGGUUUCUAUGGAUACUGCCUCCUCAGUGGCCAGGCUAUCAAUUAAAGACAGCUUCGGCUCCCAACUCUUCCCGAGGACUUCGCCGGGAGCCAGAGAUAAUUUCCCUGAAAAGCCCCGUCCGGCACGGCGUCGCCUCUCCAGCACCGGCCGCUCGGUUGCAGCUCAGCCUGUUCGGGUUUUCGAGGUAGAUGCGUGCUGCCAGCAGUGCUGCAAUAUCCAUCGAGGGCCGCCCAGAGAGAAUAGCCGGAGAGAUAGAAGUCAAACAUCUGUGCACCACGAACAUCUGCAGAGCUUCAGCGUGGCGGACUGGAAUGAAAUCCCAUCCUCAGGUCAGAUCCAGGUCCCAAAGUCUCUGAGGUGCAGGAGCGCUUUUAGUCAAACCUUCCCUUUUGCUCGGAAGCCAGAUUCGAGCACCUCCAGCUAAGAGGUGGCCGUGGCCGUGUGCUCAUGUGUCCUGCUCCGUGUCACGCAGCAAGGUGCUCCAAAAAGCACCCCGCUGGCACGGCCCCGCAUCCGUGGGUGCUCACUGCUCCAUUUUCUGGGGUCAGCCACAAGAGGGUGGCAUGAUGAUGUUCACCACGCAGCCUCCCUGCUUGCCGCCGCUUUGCUUCUAGCGUGGCAUUUUACAGCCAGCUCUGGAGCUCUAAUAAAACUUUGGAGCAGCUCUUUCCUUUUGGCA